AAUGAACGCUGGCGGCGUGCCUAAUACAUGCAAGUCGAGCGAACAGACCAGGAGCUUGCUCCUCUGACGUUAGCGGCGGACGGGUGAGUAACACGUGGAUAACCUACCUAUAAGACUGGGAUAACUUCGGGAAACCGGAGCUAAUACCGGAUAAUAUAUUGAACCGCAUGGUUCAAUAGUGAAAGACGGUUUUGCUGUCACUUAUAGAUUGAUCCGCGCCGCAUUAGCUACUUGGUAAGGUAACGGCUUACCAAGGCAACGAUGCGUAACCGACCUGAAAGGGUGAUGAGCCACAGUUGAACUGAGACACGGUUCAGACUCAUACGGGAGGAAGCAGGAGGGAAUCUUCUGCAAUGGGCGAAAGCCUGACGGAGCAACGCCGCGGGAGUGAUGAAGGUCUUCGGAUCGUAAAAAGCUGUUAUUAGGGAAGAACAAAUGUGUAAGUAACUAUGCAAGUCUUGACGGUACCUAAUCAGAAAGACACGGCUAACUACGUG
Molecule: ribosomal RNA, 497 nt
Filed under: uncultured bacterium
Lineage: Bacteria
Description: partial 16S ribosomal RNA
Rfam family: Bacterial small subunit ribosomal RNA
Source: RNAcentral